GGGAAACUGCGGCUAAUACCGCAUGCGCCCCGGUAACGAAAGAUUCGCAGGAGGAGGGGCCCGCGUCGGAUUAGGUAGUUGGUGGGGUAACGGCCUACCAAGCCGAUGAUCCGUAGCUGGUCUGAGAGGAUGAUCAGCCACAGUGGGACUGAGACACUGCCCAGACUCCUACGGGAGGCAGCAGUGGGGAAUAUUGGACAAUGGGCGCAAGCCUGAUCCAGCAAUGCCGCGUGAGUGAUGAAGGCCUUCGGGUUGUAAAGCUCUUUCGCCCGCGACGAUUGACGGUAGCGGGAGAAGAAGCCCCGGCUAACUUCGUGCCAGCAGCCGCGGUAAUACGAAGGGGGCGAGCGUUGUUCGGAAUCACUGGGCGUAAAGGGCGCGUAAGCGGCUUGGUUUGUCGCGUGCGAAAGCCCCGGGCUCAACCUGGGAGGUGCGCGCGAGAC
Molecule: ribosomal RNA, 443 nt
Filed under: uncultured soil bacterium
Lineage: Bacteria
Description: bacterial SSU rRNA
Rfam family: Bacterial small subunit ribosomal RNA
Source: RNAcentral